Molecule: long non-coding RNA, 488 nt
Filed under: Salvia miltiorrhiza (redroot sage)
Lineage: Eukaryota; Viridiplantae; Streptophyta; Magnoliopsida; Lamiales; Lamiaceae
Description: long non-coding RNA (SMIL_LNC013480)
Source: RNAcentral
GAAUACGUCACACCAAACUUCCGAUUAGAGUGUUUAGGUUUAUUUCCUGUUUUCUGUACGUAGCGUGAUCAGAGCCCUGUUUAGCCUUCAUUGUGAGACAACUUGGGUUAACUUACUACACUAGGACGAUCUCGUAUGAUUGCGAGUCAAUCCCUUAGGUGUCGAUGAAGGCUUUAGGCGUUUGAUUGUGUUACAUUUGUUUUUCAUGUUUAUUUUGUUUCUUUUUUUUUAACUCGGUUAUUUUCUCCCUCCGGUGUGUUUGAUUUGUUUGCUAGUAUUGUGUAUGCAAGGUCACAGAAGCUUGAAGAGAAUGUUAGCACCUUACUACGACAACAUCCACCGGCCUCGAGAGGUCUUGUCUAGCUUGGAGGAGGAGUCCGAGUUCAGUUUGAGAGACGUUGUGGAAACGGUGACUCAAGAGCAAGUCUGUGAGGAGAAACUUGAGUCAAACUCCACUCUGGAGGUCUUUGAGGAUUCAAACUUUGUCC